This 253-nucleotide ribosomal RNA is filed under the name uncultured bacterium. Its description in RNAcentral is "partial 16S ribosomal RNA". It matches the Rfam family "Bacterial small subunit ribosomal RNA", at positions 524 to 776 of the family's 1533-position model. The record is from RNAcentral.
UACGUAGGGGGCUAGCGUUGUCCGGAAUCAUUGGGCGUAAAGAGCGCGUAGGCGGCCCGAUAAGUCCGGUGUGAAAGUCACAGGCUCAACCUGUGAAUGCCGCUGGAAACUGUCUGGCUAGAGUCCGGAAGGGGCGAGUGGAAUUCCUGGUGUAGCGGUGAAAUGCGCAGAUAUCAGGAGGAACACCAAUGGCGAAGGCAGCUCGCUGGGACGGUACUAACGCUGAGGCGCGAAAGCGUGGGGAGCGAACAGG